This 253-nucleotide ribosomal RNA is filed under the name uncultured bacterium. RNAcentral's name for it is "partial 16S ribosomal RNA". It matches the Rfam family "Bacterial small subunit ribosomal RNA", at positions 524 to 776 of the family's 1533-position model. The record is from RNAcentral.
UACAGAGGGGGCAAGCGUUGUCCGGAAUUACUGGGCGUAAAGGGCGCGUAGGCGGCCUGCUAAGUCGAACGUGAAAUCCCUGGGCUCAACCCAGGAACUGCGUCCGAUACUGGUUGGCUUGAAUCCGGGAGAGGGAUGUGGAAUUCCAGGUGUAGCGGUGAAAUGCGUAGAUAUCUGGAGGAACACCGGUGGCGAAGGCGACAUCCUGGACCGGUAUUGACGCUGAGGCGCGAAAGCCAGGGGAGCAAACGGG